AAUCUAUAGAGGCGUUUUCCGCGCCGGACCGCGUCCAAGUCUCUUGGAAUAGAGUAUCAAAGAGGGUGACAAUCCCGUACUUGACGCGACAACCGGUGCUCUGUGAUACGUUCUCAAUGAGUCGAGUUGUUUGGGAAUGCAGCUCUAAAUGGGUGGUAAAUUCCAUCUAAGGCUAAAUAUUGGCGAGAGACCGAUAGCGAACAAGUACCGUGAGGGAAAGAUGAAAAGCACUUUGGAAAGAGAGUUAAACAGCACGUGAAAUUGUUAAAAGGGAAACGAUUGAAGUCAGUCGUGUGAAAGGUAUUCAGCCGUCUCUGGCGGUGUAUUUGCCUUUCACGGGUCAACAUCAGUUUGAUCCGGUAGAAAAAGGCGGGAGGAAGGUGGCACCCUCGGGUGUGUUAUAGCCUCCUGUCAUAUGUGCCGGACCAGACUGAGGAACGCAGCUUGCCGCAAGGCCGGGGUUCGCCCACGUACAAGCUUAGGAUGUUGACAUAAUGGCUUUAAACGACCCGUCUUGAAACACGGACC
This 528-nucleotide ribosomal RNA is filed under the name Vishniacozyma victoriae. RNAcentral's name for it is "eukaryotic LSU rRNA". It matches the Rfam family "Eukaryotic large subunit ribosomal RNA", at positions 147 to 667 of the family's 3401-position model. Lineage: Eukaryota; Fungi; Basidiomycota; Tremellomycetes; Tremellales; Bulleribasidiaceae. The record is from RNAcentral.